GCUUAAGGGGGAGACUUACAGAGUGAGACUUCCCUACCCAUUGGACAUACUACGUUUCGUCUCCGGCCACGGCCCUGCAGAGGACCUGUGGACCUUUGAAUUCUACCCAUCUUCCGAGUGAAAAAAACAAUAAAUCAAAACUUUCAACAACGGAUCUCUGUUUCUGGCCUCUAAGAAUACCUCACCGAAAUGCGAUCCGUAAGUAAUGAAUUGCAUAAUUCGGUGAAUCAUCCAAUCUUUGAACGCACAUUGCGCCCGCCAUUAUUCUGGCGGGCAUGCCUGUUCAAGCGUCAUUUCAACCCUCAAGCACCUUCCGGAGCUUGGUGUUGGGGAUCAUGCCUGUUCCAGCGUCAUUUCAACCAUCCCCCAAAUUUACUGGUGUUGGCGAUGUAUCUUCCUCUGCGUACCAAAACACCUCUCUCUGGAUUCCUGUCGCGACCACCCUAUAAAACCUCUCUCUUUUUCGGGCUUGACGUCGAAUCCGGUCGGACUACCCUCUGAUCUUAAACCUAAACCUAUCAAUAAUCAGAGGAAAUUGGUACCU
Molecule: ribosomal RNA, 544 nt
Filed under: Botryosphaeria sp. D103
Lineage: Eukaryota; Fungi; Ascomycota; Dothideomycetes; Botryosphaeriales; Botryosphaeriaceae
Description: eukaryotic LSU rRNA
Rfam family: 5.8S ribosomal RNA (bases 139-293)
Source: RNAcentral